AAGAGCCGUGUGCGAUAGUACCGCACGCACGGUUCUGUGAGGAGUGAGGAACUUAAUAUCUAUACUAGAAAACAAGUUCCCGCUUACUCGAC
This 92-nucleotide non-coding RNA is filed under the name Mesobacillus persicus. Lineage: Bacteria; Bacillati; Bacillota; Bacilli; Caryophanales; Bacillaceae. The record is from RNAcentral.